AGCCUCGCUCUGUUGCUAUAUAUUAAGUUGCUGCAGUUAAAAGCUCGUAGUUGGAUCUUGGGUGCGGGCGGGCGGUCUCUUUUAGAGUACUACCCUGAAACAUCUUUCUUUGGUGUAAACUCUUUAUUCACUUAAGGAGUGUAAACCAAACAUUUACUUUGAAAAAAUUAGAGUGUUCAAAGCAGGCCUUUGCUCGAAUAUAUUAGCAUGGAAUAAUAGAAUAGGACGUAUGGUUCUAUUUUGUUGGUUUCUAGGACCGUCGUAAUGAUUAAUAGGGACGGUCGGGGGCAUCAGUAUUCAGUUGUCAGAGGUGAAAUUCUUGGAUUUACUGAAGACUAACUACUGCGAAAGCAUUUGCCAAGGACGUUUUCAUUAAUCAAGAACGAAAGUUAGGGGAUCGAAGAUGACAGAAAUACCGUAAAA
This 423-nucleotide ribosomal RNA is filed under the name uncultured Geotrichum. Its description in RNAcentral is "SSU rRNA". It matches the Rfam family "Eukaryotic small subunit ribosomal RNA", at positions 607 to 1022 of the family's 1831-position model. The record is from RNAcentral. Lineage: Eukaryota; Fungi; Ascomycota; Dipodascomycetes; Dipodascales; Dipodascaceae.